RNAcentral lists this ribosomal RNA (891 nucleotides) under uncultured bacterium. Its description in RNAcentral is "bacterial SSU rRNA". It matches the Rfam family "Bacterial small subunit ribosomal RNA", at positions 505 to 1397 of the family's 1533-position model. The record is from RNAcentral.
GUGCCAGCAGCCGCGGUAAUACGUAGGUGGCAAGCGUUGUCCGGAUUUAUUGGGCGUAAAGCGAGCGCAGGCGGUUUUUUAAGUCUGAUGUGAAAGCCUUCGGCUCAACCGAAGAAGUGCAUCGGAAACUGGGAAACUUGAGUGCAGAAGAGGACAGUGGAACUCCAUGUGUAGCGGUGAAAUGCGUAGAUAUAUGGAAGAACACCAGUGGCGAAGGCGGCUGUCUGGUCUGUAACUGACGCUGAGGCUCGAAAGUAUGGGUAGCAAACAGGAUUAGAUACCCUGGUAGUCCAUACCGUAAACGAUGAAUGCUAAGUGUUGGAGGGUUUCCGCCCUUCANUGCUGCAGCUAACGCAUUAAGCAUUCCGCCUGGGGAGUACGGCCGCAAGGCUGAAACUCAAAGGAAUUGACGGGGGCCCGCACAAGCGGUGGAGCAUGUGGUUUAAUUCGAAGCUACGCGAAGAACNUUACCAGGUCUUGACAUACUAUGCAAAUCUAAGAGAUUAGACGUUCCCUUCGGGGACAUGGAUACAGGUGGUGCAUGGUUGUCGUCAGCUCGUGUCGUGAGAUGUUGGGUUAAGUCCCGCAACGAGCGCAACCCUUAUUAUCAGUUGCCAGCAUUAAGUUGGGCACUCUGGUGAGACUGCCGGUGACAAACCGGAGGAAGGUGGGGAUGACGUCAAAUCAUCAUGCCCCUUAUGACCUGGGCUACACACGUGCUACAAUGGAUGGUACAACGAGUUGCGAACUCGCGAGAGUAAGCUAAUCUCUUAAAGCCAUUCUCAGUUCGGAUUGUAGGCUGCAACUCGCCUACAUGAAGUCGGAAUCGCUAGUAAUCGCGGAUCAGCAUGCCGCGGUGAAUACGUUCCCGGGCCUUGACACACCGCCCGU